UACGGAGGAUGCGAGCGUUAUCCGGAUUUAUUGGGUUUAAAGGGUGCGCAGGCGGCGUGUCAAGUCAGCGGUAAAAUGUCGGGGCUCAACCCCGUCGUGCCGUUGAAACUGGCGCCCUUGAGUGGGCGAGAAGUAUGCGGAAUGCGUGGUGUAGCGGUGAAAUGCAUAGAUAUCACGCAGAACCCCGAUUGCGAAGGCAGCAUACCGGCGCCCGACUGACGCUGAAGCACGGAAGCGUGGGUAUCGAACAGG
This 252-nucleotide ribosomal RNA is filed under the name uncultured bacterium. RNAcentral describes it as "partial 16S ribosomal RNA". It matches the Rfam family "Bacterial small subunit ribosomal RNA", at positions 524 to 776 of the family's 1533-position model. The record is from RNAcentral.